RNAcentral lists this ribosomal RNA (460 nucleotides) under uncultured bacterium. RNAcentral's name for it is "partial 16S ribosomal RNA". It matches the Rfam family "Bacterial small subunit ribosomal RNA", at positions 338 to 795 of the family's 1533-position model. The record is from RNAcentral.
CCUACGGGAGGCAGCAGUGAGGAAUAUUGGUCAAUGGACGAGAGUCUGAACAAGCCAAGUAGCGUGAAGGAUGACUGCCCUAUGGGUUGUAAACUUCUUUUAUAUGGGAAUAAAAUGUUCCACGUGUGGGAUUUUGUAUGUACCAUAUGAAUAAGGAUCGGCUAACUCCGUGCCAGCAGCCGCGGUAAUACGGAGGAUCCGAGCGUUAUCCGGAUUUAUUGGGUUUAAAGGGAGCGUAGGUGGAUUGUUAAGUCAGUUGUGAAAGUUUGCGGCUCAACCGUAAAAUUGCAGUUGAAACUGGCAGUCUUGAGUACAGUAGAGGUGGGCGGAAUUCGUGGUGUAGCGGUGAAAUGCUUAGAUAUCACGAAGAACUCCGAUUGCGAAGGCAGUUCACUGGACUGCAACUGACACUGAGGCUCGAAAGUGUGGGUAUCAAACAGGAUUAGAUACCCCUGUAGUC